This 257-nucleotide ribosomal RNA is filed under the name uncultured bacterium. RNAcentral describes it as "partial 16S ribosomal RNA". It matches the Rfam family "Bacterial small subunit ribosomal RNA", at positions 99 to 353 of the family's 1533-position model. The record is from RNAcentral.
CGAACGGGUGAGUAACGCGUGAGGAACCUGCCUCAAAGAGGGGACAACAGUUGGAAACGACUGCUAAUACCGCAUAAGCCCACGGGUCGGCAUCGACCAGAGGGAAAAGGAGCAAUCCGCUUUGAGAUGGCCUCGCGUCCGAUUAGCUAGUUGGUGAGGUAAUGGCCCACCAAGGCAACGAUCGGUAGCCGGACUGAGAGGUUGAACGGCCACAUUGGGACUGAGACACGGCCCAGACUCCUACGGGAGGCAGCAUG